AGGCGCGUAGCUCAGUGGGAGAGCACUACACUGACACUGUAGUGGUCGGCGGUUCAAAUCCGCCCGUGCCUACCA
Molecule: transfer RNA, 75 nt
Filed under: Desulfobulbaceae bacterium
Lineage: Bacteria; Pseudomonadati; Thermodesulfobacteriota; Desulfobulbia; Desulfobulbales; Desulfobulbaceae
Also listed under: 1 other name
Description: tRNA-Val
Rfam family: tRNA
About the family: Transfer RNA (tRNA) molecules are approximately 80 nucleotides in length. Their secondary structure includes four short double-helical elements and three loops (D, anti-codon, and T loops).
Source: RNAcentral